UAGGGAAUCUUGCACAAUGGGCGAAAGCCUGAUGCAGCAACGCCGCGUGAAGGAUGAAGGCCUUCGGGUUGUAAACUUCUGUUCUAAGGGAAGAAACAAAUGACGGUACCUUAGGAGCAAGCCCCGGCUAACUACGUGCCAGCAGCCGCGGUAAUACGUAGGGGGCAAGCGUUAUCCGGAAUUAUUGGGCGUAAAGAGUGCGUAGGUGGUUACCUAAGCGCAAGGUUUAAUUUAGAGACUCAACCUCUACUUGCCUUGCGAACUGGGCUACUUGAGUGCAGGAGGGGAAAGCGGAAUUCCUAGUGUAGCGGUGAAAUGCGUAGAUAUUAGGAGGAACACCAGCGGCGAAGGCGGCUUUCUGGACUGUAACUGACACUGAGGCACGAAAGCGUGGGUAGCAAACAGGAUUAGAUACCCUGGUAGUCCACGCCGUAAACGAUGAGCACUAGGUGUUGGGCCCGUUAGGGCUCAGUGCCGCAGUUAACGCAAAUAAGUGCUCCGCCUGGGGAGUACGCUCGCAAGAGUA
This 526-nucleotide ribosomal RNA is filed under the name uncultured bacterium. RNAcentral's name for it is "bacterial SSU rRNA". It matches the Rfam family "Bacterial small subunit ribosomal RNA", at positions 355 to 896 of the family's 1533-position model. The record is from RNAcentral.